GAGGGUAUAGCUCAGUGGCAGAGUGUGGGCUCAGCAUGCCCGUGGUCCUAGGUUCAACCCCCAGAACCUCCU
Molecule: transfer RNA, 72 nt
Filed under: Camelus bactrianus (Bactrian camel)
Lineage: Eukaryota; Metazoa; Chordata; Mammalia; Artiodactyla; Camelidae
Also listed under: 2 other names
Rfam family: tRNA
About the family: Transfer RNA (tRNA) molecules are approximately 80 nucleotides in length. Their secondary structure includes four short double-helical elements and three loops (D, anti-codon, and T loops).
Source: Rfam by way of RNAcentral